GCCUAAUACAUGCAAGUCGAGCGGACAGACAGGAGUGCUUGCACUCCUUGAAGUCAGCGGCGGACGGGUGAGUAACACGUGGGUAACCUACCUAUAAGACUGGGAUAACUUCGGGAAACCGGAGCUAAUACCGGAUAAUAUGUUUCACCUCAUGGUGAAACAGUGAAAGACGGUUUCUGCUGUCACUUAUAGAUGGACCCGCGGCGCAUUAGCUAGUUGGUGAGGUAACGGCUCACCAAGGCGACGAUGCGUAGCCGACCUGAGAGGGUGAUCGGCCACACUGGGACUGAGACACGGCCCAGACUCCUACGGGAGGCAGCAGUAGGGAAUCUUCCGCAAUGGACGAAAGUCUGACGGAGCAACGCCGCGUGAGUGAAGAAGGUUUUCGGAUCGUAAAACUCUGUUGUAAGGGAAGAACAAGUACGUUAGUAACUGAACGUACCUUGACGGUACCUUACCAGAAAGCCACGGCUAACUACGUGCCAGCAGCCGCGGUAAUACGUAGGUGGCAAGCGUUAUCCGGAAUUAUUGGGCGUAAAGCGCGCGUAGGCGGUCUCUUAAGUCUGAUGUGAAAGCCCCCGGCUCAACCGGGGAGGGUCAUUGGAAACUGGGAGACUUGAGUGCAGAAGAGGAGAGUGGAAUUCCAUGUGUAGCGGUGAAAUGCGCAGAGAUAUGGAGGAACACCAGUGGCGAAGGCGGCUCUCUGGUCUGUAACUGACGCUGAGGUGCGAAAGCGUGGGGAUCAAACAGGAUUAGAUACCCUGGUAGUCCACGCCGUAAACGAUGAGUGCUAAGUGUUGGGGGGUUUCCGCCCCUCAGUGCUGCAGCUAACGCAUUAAGCACUCC
This 846-nucleotide ribosomal RNA is filed under the name Macrococcus equipercicus. Its description in RNAcentral is "bacterial SSU rRNA". It matches the Rfam family "Bacterial small subunit ribosomal RNA", at positions 46 to 870 of the family's 1533-position model. Lineage: Bacteria; Bacillati; Bacillota; Bacilli; Caryophanales; Staphylococcaceae. The record is from RNAcentral.